This is an RNA transcript of Glossina fuscipes, 1798 nucleotides long. It is a transcript of the gene named PIH1 domain-containing protein 1, with no coding region annotated. The record is from RefSeq and is a predicted model, not a curated record. The transcript is spliced from 4 exons. NCBI's taxonomy places the organism in Eukaryota, Metazoa, Arthropoda, Insecta, Diptera, Glossinidae.
AUACUGGCAAUAACGCUAGCUCAACGAUAUCUUUCAACGACAUCUGUUUCUGUGUGUAAUGUGUAGACAUUUUUUCUUUGAAGAAAUUUUGUUAAUAUUUCUUAGAUUUUGCUAAAUAAAAACUACAUUUAAUAAUGAAUUCGCGGAAUAACUUUUUAGAUGCGGAUAAUAGUUUAAUAGAGAGAAGGUUGAGAUUUGUGCAGAAUGAUUUUGAAGACAGUUUGAAUCAAUACUUUAGGGGAUCUAGAUGUGACGAUUCCACUACUUCUCCACCUCCACGCGACUACAAAAUUGUUCAACCUAAACCUGGCCGCUCUUCAAAUCAUAAUUUCCAUAUUGAAGAGCGUAAAGCAUUUUUACAGCAAUUGGGUUUGCCUCGCCAUGAAGCUUACGAAUUGGCCGUGAGUACUGAAUUUGACGUUAAACAUUAUGAAAAAAUGCUUCAUGAUAUGUUUAAAAAUGGCAAAAGAACAGAAUUUAUUAACGCUUAUAUAUCGGACAAUAUAAAGCGUUUAUCGAGCGGCAAUUAUGAUUUAAAUGGUCAGAGCAAUUUUCAUAAUUCUGCACAAAAUAAUAUUCCUCCCCCUCCGCCUCGUAUGUUAAAUUGGGAGAGUGACACCGCUAUUGAUGUCGAUCAAAUAUCCGGACAUGACGUAGCACCGACGACGUCAAAAAAACUUAACAAAUCUGAAGGUGCGAAUGGAUCGGAAAUGUUAUCCAGAUCUAAAAAACGAAAAAGAAGCUAUUUCUUACGAUUGGGCUUUCAAAACGAAGAAGCUCAACAGUUGGCAAAGGAUGGUUAUUCAAGAAAAAGAGCAAGGAAACUUGGCAAAGCAUUAAAUACAAUUCCAUUCAAAAUUGCUAUAUUGCCCUGCGAUUAUCCGGAAACUUUAUUGUUUACCGAACAUAUGGAUCAAAUACAAAGCGCCUUAAUGACUAAAUUAAGCAGCGAGCUUAUUCAAUCAACUCUAUCAACUUUACCAAUCUCCAAUAUUGUCUAUAAGGCAGGCUUUAUGUCUAUCGAUUGCAAGAAUGAUGAAGCAAUGAUUAAAUGGUUGUUCUUAAAUGUGCCUCUCAUCCAAUUAGGAGAGGACAUAGAGUUAAUGGCUAUAGAAGAACGAACGAUGCCAGAUCCCUUUAUUUGCGUAGGAAAAUUUAAAAAUGCUUCAAAUCUAGACGCAAAAGAGAUACUACGCAUCGUCCAAGCAACAAAUAAUGGUCUUAUCGUAAAGGCUUGGAGAACUCUCAAAACGGUAAUGACUGCUACUGCCACAAAGCUCGUUUUAGCAGUAGAUCCCAAAUCUGCAGAGAUAUUACAAGAAAAAAAGAAUUUCGUUAUGUACAAAGGUCAACGGGUCCACUUAAAGCAUCAGAAAAUGUUAAAGCCUUACUUGAGAUCUGACCCUACUAGGGCACAAAAAAAUUCCUGGAACAAAAUUAAAAAAUUACGCCGAAACGCGGCCACCCAAAAAUUACAAAGACCAUAAACUAAGACAUCGAAAAAACCGGUUUGCUAAAAUUUCAAGCACUUUCCGCUUUUCGAACCUCGUUAAGUUAAAUAUCAAAAUUAAAUAAAUGAAAAAAACGCUUGGAAGAGAAGAACUAAUUUGCAUCCACCAGCUUUUGUUGUAUGAAAUGCAUUAGCUCUUCAAUUAAUUCAUCAUAAGUAUCAACUGAAACCAAUUAUUUGAAACCGGAGUUAGUGCUACACACUGAAUGAAAUUGUGCCCGGUUUUCCUCUGUAUUAUACUACUUUAUGCAGCGAACAAAAUUUUCUUUAUUAAAAAUUUUGGUAGUA